This 235-nucleotide ribosomal RNA is filed under the name uncultured bacterium. RNAcentral describes it as "partial 16S ribosomal RNA". It matches the Rfam family "Bacterial small subunit ribosomal RNA", at positions 96 to 334 of the family's 1533-position model. The record is from RNAcentral.
UGGCGGACGGGUGAGUAAUGUCUGGGAAACUGCCCGACGGAGGGGGAUAACUACUGGAAACGGUAGCUAAUACCGCAUAACGUCGCAAGACCAAAGAGGGGGACCUUCGGGCCUCUUGCCAUCGGAUGUGCCCAGAUGGGAUUAGCUAGUAGGUGGGGUAACGGCUCACCUAGGCGACGAUCCCUAGCUGGUCUGAGAGGAUGACCAGCCACACUGGAACUGAGACACGGUCCAG